AGAGAGAGACAUGCGCGCAUAUCAAUAAGCGGAGGAAAAGAAACUAACAAGGAUUCCCUUAGUAACGGCGAGUGAAGCGGGAAGAGCUCAAAUUUGAAAUCUUCAAGGUUUUACCUUGACGAAUUGUAGUUUAAAGAAGUGUUUUCUGCUGAAGUUUUGGUAAAAGUUCUUUGGAAUAGGACAUCAUAGAGGGUGAGAAUCCCGUAUUUGACCAUUAUUUUCAGCUUUGUGAUACACUUUCAAAGAGUCGGAUUGUUUGAGAAUGCAGUCCAAAAUGGGUGGUAAAUUUCAUCUAAAGCUAAAUAUUGGCGAGAGACCGAUAGCGAACAAGUACCGUGAGGGAAAGAUGAAAAGAACUUUGAGAAGAGAGUUAAACAGUACGUGAAAUUGUCAAAAGGGAAGCGUUUGACACCAGUGUUGUUUUCUCGAAAAUCAAUUAAAAAAUGGCUAGAUUUUGUAUGUUGUAUUGACCUUUAAUCAAGCUUCACUGCUACAUCUUUUCGUGUCUUUUUUAAUGCACUUUUCGUUUAACAAGUCAACAUCAGUUUCUUUUGUUGUAAAAGGGUCAUUGGAAGGUGGCUUUCUUUUCGGAGAAAGUGUUUAUAGCCUUUGGCCUCUGCAAUCGGAGAGAUUGAGGUCUGCAGCGUAGACUCCUUCGGGGUUAGAUACAUUUGUGCUAAGUUAUAGCCUUUUCAUAGACAACUUGUUGACUAUAAUCAGUCAUGUAGCUUACUCGCUUAUGCUAUUUUACCUACGCUUAGGAUGUUGAAGUCAUCGUAUCGCGC
RNAcentral lists this ribosomal RNA (785 nucleotides) under uncultured Neocallimastigales. RNAcentral describes it as "partial large subunit ribosomal RNA". It matches the Rfam family "Eukaryotic large subunit ribosomal RNA", at positions 23 to 645 of the family's 3401-position model. The record is from RNAcentral. Lineage: Eukaryota; Fungi; Neocallimastigomycota; Neocallimastigomycetes; Neocallimastigales.